This is a long non-coding RNA of Gossypium raimondii (Peruvian cotton), 833 nucleotides long. RefSeq lists it as uncharacterized. The transcript is spliced from 2 exons. NCBI's taxonomy places the organism in Eukaryota, Viridiplantae, Streptophyta, Magnoliopsida, Malvales, Malvaceae. The record is from RefSeq and is a predicted model, not a curated record.
AAAAAAAAAACCUAAAUCUAAAAGUUUUCUCUCAAACUCGCAGAAGAACGGAGAGCACAGCCUCCAGCUUCCCUUCUUCUGCCGCUUCACCUUCACCUCUGCCCGUUUUUGCUCGGAGGGAGGGAUUCAUUGGUGCCCCACGAUGGUAAGUUUUCUCCUUCUCCUCUCUUAUUUCUCCCCUUUUUUUUACAUAAUUGCUGAAUAAAUAAAUAGAAAAGAAUAAACCAGAGAAAAAGGAACACUGCAAUCACCUUUAGAAUUUUUGCUUUCCUCUGAAAAUUUUUAUGUUUCUCGUAUUCCAUAUCCGUAAAAAUUACAAAUUUUCCAAUGGCCUUAUAUAGCCAAUAAUGAUCGAAUAGAAAAAAAAGAAAAUUACAGAAAAUCCCUCAUUAUUUGCAAUCUUUUCUUGUUAUUCUUCGUUGCUGUUUUGUCUGCUUCUGUCUAUUGCAGGUACGGAGGAGUCCAGCUGGCGGUACGGAGAUGCACACGAGGGCAGAGACUCGGCACGCGCCUGGGAGGGUCUCGUGUGUGUGGCUAGCGGCGGCUGAGGCAGAAGGUUGCCGAAGGCUAGGGUUUCAGUCUCAGUUAGGCUAGGUGUUGGGCUAGAGUUUAGAUAAUCCACAAGGUUAGGAUGCAGACUCGACAUUCGGAGGGCUUGACUCAGAUUAUUAAUUUUAUACAAAAGUAUUUUAGACUUUUUAAUUUACAAAUUUUGUUAUUUGAAACUUUACCGUUUUAUUUAAAUUGCGGCAUAGGACUUAGUUUUCGAAUUUUACUUAGGCAUGUAUGACAUUUAAUUCAUUUAGACUAUUAAAAUAUGAAUUUUUAAUUUA